UAUCCAGUUGAGGCAUGAUUGAUUGAUUGAGACUAAAUUCUUCCCUCUAGACAGCUUAAAUCAAGCCUCUACUCUAAGAGUAGUAAGAAAGAGAGAGUUGGUUGUUGACCAAGAUAAAGUAUGGGAGAAUCUCUUUAUUCUUUUUAUACGCUAUUUUUAUUGAUGGGAUUCGAACCUAUGCAUAUCACUAAGAGAGCAGGGUGGUCUUCAUUGAAUUGAAUUUUUGAGUAACCUUUUUCUAUUUAUAUCAUAAGAGUUCAAUAAAG
This 266-nucleotide unclassified non-coding RNA is filed under the name Hevea brasiliensis (rubber tree). The record is from RNAcentral. Lineage: Eukaryota; Viridiplantae; Streptophyta; Magnoliopsida; Malpighiales; Euphorbiaceae.